Molecule: ribosomal RNA, 508 nt
Filed under: uncultured bacterium
Lineage: Bacteria
Description: partial 16S ribosomal RNA
Rfam family: Bacterial small subunit ribosomal RNA
Source: RNAcentral
AUUGAACGCUGGCGGCAGGCCCAACACAUGCAAGUCGAGCGGCAGCGGGAAAGUAGCUUGCUACUUUUGCCGGCGAGCGGCGGACGGGUGAGUAAUGCCUGGGAAAUUGCCCAGUCGAGGGGGAUAACAGUUGGAAACGACUGCUAAUACCGCAUACGCCCUACGGGGGAAAGCAGGGGACCUUCAGGCCUUGCGCGAUUGGAUAUGCCCAGGUGGGAUUAGCUAGUUGGUGAGGUAAUGGCUCACCAAGGCGACGAUCCCUAGCUGGUCUGAGAGGAUGAUCAGCCACACUGGAACUGAGACACGGUCCAGACUCCUACGGGAGGCAGCAGUGGGGAAUAUUGCACAAUGGGGGAAACCCUGAUGCAGCCAUGCCGCGUGUGUGAAGAAGGCCUUCGGGUUGUAAAGCACUUUCAGCGAGGAGGAAAGGUUGAUGCCUAAUACGUAUCAACUGUGACGUUACUCGCAGAAGAAGCACCGGCUAACUCCGUGCCAGCCGCCGCGGUAA